CAAUAGCGUAUAUUAAAGCUGUUGCGGUUAAAAAGCUCGUAGUUGGAUUUCUGUCAAGGACAACUGGUCCGCCCUCCGGGUGAGCACAUAGUUUGGUCUUGGCAUCUUGCUGGAAACUGUUGCUGCACUUGACUGUGUGGCGCAGCGUCCAGCACUUUCACUUUGAGGAAAUUGGAGUGUUUCAAGCAGGCACAUGCCUUUGGACACAGUAGCAUGGAAUAAUUAGAUUGGGCUUUUGCUCCAAUUUGUCGGUUUCUGGAGCUGAGGUGAGAAUUAAUGGGGAUUGUUGGGGGCAUCCGAAUUUAGCCGUCAGAGGUGAAAUUCUUGGAUCUGCUAAAGACGGACAACUGCGAAAGCAUUUGCCAAGGAUGUUUUCAUUGA
Molecule: ribosomal RNA, 381 nt
Filed under: uncultured eukaryote
Lineage: Eukaryota
Description: partial 18S ribosomal RNA
Rfam family: Eukaryotic small subunit ribosomal RNA
Source: RNAcentral